GUAAUGAAGACAAUGCAUACUAUUGUCGAUUCACAAAUAGUAUCUGGGUGGACUGAAAUAUUUAUAGAUCGAUCACCAUUGCCGCUAGAAGACAUAAACAUCAUUAGGGAGCAAUGGGCCACAUUUUUUAUUGACCAUUACUUUAACUAGUUUGGGCUUAUGUUUUAUAGUAUUGCUUUAACUAGUUAGAACUUACAUUUCAUUGAGCAAUGUAGUCCAUUUAUGUAUUAGAUGUAUUUAAAACUAUUCAAUUAUAUAUAUAUGAUUAACAUUUAUCAUCUUGUCA
Cajanus cajan (pigeon pea) is the source of this 286-nucleotide non-coding RNA. The record is from RefSeq and is a predicted model, not a curated record. Lineage: Eukaryota; Viridiplantae; Streptophyta; Magnoliopsida; Fabales; Fabaceae.